This 710-nucleotide ribosomal RNA is filed under the name Weissella paramesenteroides. Its description in RNAcentral is "bacterial SSU rRNA". It matches the Rfam family "Bacterial small subunit ribosomal RNA", at positions 56 to 749 of the family's 1533-position model. The record is from RNAcentral. Lineage: Bacteria; Bacillati; Bacillota; Bacilli; Lactobacillales; Lactobacillaceae.
UGAUCUGACGAGCUUGCUCUGAUUUGAUUUUAUCUGACAAAGAGUGGCGAACGGGUGAGUAACACGUGGGUAACCUACCUCUUAGCAGGGGAUAACAUUUGGAAACAAGUGCUAAUACCGUAUAAUACCAACAACCGCAUGGUUGUUGGUUGAAAGAUGGUUCUGCUAUCACUAAGAGAUGGACCCGCGGUGCAUUAGCUAGUUGGUAAGGUAACGGCUUACCAAGGCAAUGAUGCAUAGCCGAGUUGAGAGACUGAUCGGCCACAAUGGGACUGAGACACGGCCCAUACUCCUACGGGAGGCAGCAGUAGGGAAUCUUCCACAAUGGGCGCAAGCCUGAUGGAGCAACGCCGCGUGUGUGAUGAAGGGUUUCGGCUCGUAAAACACUGUUAUAAGAGAAGAACGGCACUGAGAGUAACUGUUCAGUGUGUGACGGUAUCUUACCAGAAAGGAACGGCUAAAUACGUGCCAGCAGCCGCGGUAAUACGUAUGUUCCAAGCGUUAUCCGGAUUUAUUGGGCGUAAAGCGAGCGCAGACGGUUAUUUAAGUCUGAAGUGAAAGCCCUCAGCUCAACUGAGGAAUGGCUUUGGAAACUGGAUGACUUGAGUGCAGUAGAGGAAAGUGGAACUCCAUGUGUAGCGGUGAAAUGCGUAGAUAUAUGGAAGAACACCAGUGGCGAAGGCGGCUUUCUGGACUGUAACUGACGUUGA